UGAGGUUGUAGCUCAGCUGGAUAGAGCUUCAGAUUGCGGAUCUGAAGGUCGGAGGUUCGAAUCCUCUCAGCCUCAGC
RNAcentral lists this transfer RNA (77 nucleotides) under Spirochaetia bacterium. Its description in RNAcentral is "tRNA-Arg". It matches the Rfam family "tRNA". From Rfam's summary of the family: Transfer RNA (tRNA) molecules are approximately 80 nucleotides in length. The record is from RNAcentral. Lineage: Bacteria; Pseudomonadati; Spirochaetota; Spirochaetia.